GCCAUGCAUGUCUCAGUACAAGCCGCAUUAAGGCGAAACCGCGAAUGGCUCAUUAAAUCAGUUAUGGUUCCUUAGAUCUUACACUUUUUACAUGGAUAACUGUGGUAAUUCUAGAGCUAAUACAUGAAACUAGUACCCCGACUUUGCGGAAGGGGUGCUUUUAUUAGAACAAAACCAAUCGGUCGGCUUGUCCGUCCGUUGCCUUGGUGACUCUGAAUAACUUUGGGCUGAUCGCACGGUCCUAGCACCGGCGACGCAUCUUUCAAAUGUCUGCCUUAUCAACUGUCGAUGGUAGGUUCUGCGCCUACCAUGGUUGUAACGGGUGACGGGGAAUCAGGGUUCGAUUCCGGAGAGGGAGCCUGAGAAACGGCUACCACAUCCAAGGAAGGCAGCAGGCGCGCAAAUUACCCACUCCCGGCACGGGGAGGUAGUGACGAAAAAUAACGAUACGGGACUCAUCCGAGGCCCCGUAAUCGGAAUGAGAACACUUUAAAUCCUUUAACGAGGAUCUAUUGGAGGGCAAGUCUGGUGCCAGCAGCCGCGGUAAUUCCAGCUCCAAUAGCGUAUAUUAAAGUUGUUGCGGUUAAAAAGCUCGUAGUCGGAGGUGUGUCUCGGACGGUCGGGUUCGCCGCUUGUCGGUGCUCAACUGGCCGGUCCGGACGUCCUGCCGGUGGGGCUGUAAAAGGCUCCGUUAUCCUUCUUUGGUCCUCUUCAUCGAGUGCCUUGGUGGGCCGGCACGUUUACUUUGAACAAAUUAGAGUGCUCAAAGCAGGCCGUUGGUCGCCUGAAUACUGUGUGCAUGGAAUAAUAGAAUAGGACCUCGGUUCCAUUUUGUUGGUUUUCAGAACUCGAGGUAAUGAUUAAUAGGGACGGACGGGGGCAUUCGUAUUGCGACGUU
This 898-nucleotide ribosomal RNA is filed under the name Onychothemis testacea. Its description in RNAcentral is "SSU rRNA". It matches the Rfam family "Eukaryotic small subunit ribosomal RNA", at positions 48 to 906 of the family's 1831-position model. Lineage: Eukaryota; Metazoa; Arthropoda; Insecta; Odonata; Libellulidae. The record is from RNAcentral.